GUAUGCAGUGGAAUUUUUUUUUAUGCAGUUAUACUGUCAAUUGCUUUGAUGCCAAACCAGAUCAUUACACCACAUGAUGAUGGAAUCAAUUCUGAGUCAUUUUCAAGAUGCACUUUCUCUGCUUUCUGUGGUGCUAGAAAAUGCAGACAAAGACUGUGAGUCUAGAGCAAGAGCCACAAGGAUCUGAGUUAGAGACGUUCUAGUCCCGUGGCACCUUUGGGUUUCCAGAGAUCUUUCCCUAAGAAACUGUUCACACAAAAUCACAAUUCCUGUGACUGUGCACAGUAACUUAACUCCAGCAAGUGUGCUCACAAGUGCUGUCACAGGAUGAAUGAAUUUAAGGUCAGAAAGGGAAGUUUUUUAGUUAGGACAUGCACAUAGAACAAAGCUCAUUCCCCAUCAAGUGUACUGGGUAAUCUGAAUUCUACUGAAGAGUUUAGAAACUGAAAUGCUCAACAUUCUCCAGCCCAGUGAAUGGGUGUUUGGUUCUGUCAGUGGAUGCUGCAGCACUGAAACACCAUGUCUCUUACCCCAGGUGCUUGACUGCAGAAGCCUGUAAAUCAGGAGGUAGACAUGGCACAGCCCUGCAACAUAAUGGUUGUAUGCUUGAGGUAUCAUCCUGAGCAUAGCCUAUGAUCUUCUUGUGAAAAAUUCAGGGGUGAAGUUCCAAAAUGGAUUUUCAAUGGACCUCUGGCUUGUCUCUCCUCAGACCGACUGCCAGCAACUCUGAAACUACAUGGAUUUUUCUUUCCCACAUGCUUGCUGUUGGAUUUUUAGCUGCCUCUUCUGCAAUGUGCUCUUUGGCAACCAGGAGGAUAGUCAGCCUGCACAGCAUUGUGCUCCUCAUAGCAGUCUGCCUUCUGAACAAACCCAGACAGUGCCUCAUGACAGCCUGGGAUCAAAAUCAGCAACUUCAGCAAGACUCAUCCUCGGGGAAGAAGGUCAGAAAUCUUCUAUCAAGAUUGCUUGUCUGUUGAGAAUAUUGAUUUCAGUAUUACUAAGAUAAAAUUAGUGAUAUUGAAAUGAUUGGUUAAACAUGCAACUUCCAGGAACUGAAACUCUACGAACUACGUCUCUUUCUGAAAGUUUUAUUUUAUCUAAACACACUGAGACUUUGAUGAUCAAGUAACUUAAUCUAUCCAACACGCAAAGGUGUUUCUGAGGAGCGAAGAAUUGUUGCACAUUUUCUUACGUCUUUUGUGUUGCCAAAUAAAUAUAUACGUUUCCUUACCA
This 1233-nucleotide long non-coding RNA is filed under the name Coturnix japonica (Japanese quail). Its description in RNAcentral is "lncRNA (ENSCJPG00005015382.1)". Lineage: Eukaryota; Metazoa; Chordata; Aves; Galliformes; Phasianidae. The record is from RNAcentral.